GAUGAAGAACGCAGUGAAAUGCGAUAAGUAAUGUGAAUUGCAGAAUUCAGUGAAUCAUCGAAUCUUUGAACGCACCUUGCGCCCUUUGGCCAUUCCGAAGGGCAUGCCUGUUUGAGUAUCAUGAACACCUCAACUCUUUAUGGUUUUCCAUGAUGAGCUUGGACUCUGGGGGUUUUGCUGGCUCACAGUCGGCUCCUCUAAAAUGAAUCAGCUUACCAGUGUUUGGUGGGUAUCAUGGGUGUGAUAACUAUCUACGCUUGUGGUUUUUCCACCAGGUAACCUUCAGCAGUGGAGGUUCGCUGGAGCUCAUAGAUGUCUCUCCUCAGUGAGGACAGCCCUUUUAAUGUUUGAUCUCAAAUCAGGUAGGACUACCCGCUGAACUUAAGCAUAUCAAUAAGCGGAGGA
This 405-nucleotide unclassified non-coding RNA is filed under the name soil metagenome. RNAcentral describes it as "partial contains 5.8S ribosomal RNA, internal transcribed spacer 2, and large subunit ribosomal RNA". The stretch from base 1 to 121 matches the Rfam family "5.8S ribosomal RNA", at positions 35 to 154 of the family's 154-position model. The record is from RNAcentral.